UAAUGUGUUUAGUGUUUAGACUUUAUUGUUGCUUGUGAGUUGCUGCCUGCAUUAAUCUCACUUAUAGCAUCUGUAUUCCAUAUUGUAAGAUAAUAUUUAAGCAUUUGUAUUGUAAGCCUCUGUGACUGUGUAACAAACUCACCAGACAGGAGAGAAACAUUAAGUAGUAUUAAGUGCUGAUCUCCAACAGAAGGUGUUACAUCUUGGCCACCAAGGAAGGCCCAUUGACGCCAGGCGUACCAUUGGGGAACAUUAAAGAGGACAAAAGACUUUGUUGCUCAUCUCUUCCCCCCCACCCCAGGGAGAUGAGUCAUGAAAGUGGAUUCCUUCCAUCAGUUGAGUUUGCAGCUCAGAGCACAUGUGGGGAAGGGAGUAAAAACCCCUCACAAGAAGGAACGGUAUCUCUAUGCUGCUUGGACUCUGGGUGGCAGGUUUUCUAGACAUAAGUAAGAGAACCCCAGUGCUUAGCCAAGGUUAGCCCUAAAGGACAUAUAGAGUUCGCUGAUUAUAGAAGCUUCUAUCACCUUUUGAAACUUAAGAUUGUAACUCAUUUGUGUAUCUGUGUAUCAUUUGUGCUUUAACAUUAUAAAUAAUUCUCUUAUAUUCCUUAAAUAGGAAAAGGAAAUGUGUACAUUUUAUUAUAGGAUUGGCUACAAGCAUUAUCUUUGGUGUGAGAUCUAGGAUACAAUUGACCGGGGGUAAGUGACGGGAUAUUGCUGUGAUUCUUGGUGUAAAGAACCACCUAUCACAAAGGUAAGUUUACCUGGGUGGCAAGAUAGAAUGGAAGUACCCAAGGGGAUUGUCAGUGACUCUAUAUUAAGGCUGUUAUAGGGCCUGGGGAGUUUCCACUUGAUAACUGGUUGGUGAAAUAAAUACAAAACUCACAGCCAACUUGGGAUUUGUACCCUGCCUCUUAACAGUCUGCCCUGAGGUGGGUACUUGUGCACUUGAGACACUGCAGGGCAGCUUGAUAAGAAGGACUCAGCAUCACCUCCCAGCUCUCGGCAAAGCCUUGGUCCCAGCACCACAGGUAACGGUAUCCUCUGUCUGAAUCCCAGGGCUGAGAAGGGUCAGGGGCUACUGGGUUAGGCUGCAUAAGCAAAACUGCAUCAGGAAGCCGCAGAGCAGCUGCAGGACGCGGGGGGUGAAUGGAGGGCUAGCAAUGAUGUUCCCCAUGUGCUGCUAGUUCCGUUUGCAGUGUGAGAUUGUCAGCUGUUAACUGCCCUGGGCAAGGGCCAUGCUCUUACUAAUCUUAGUUUGUCUGCUGACAGAUCAGUUCUCGCUUCAUGUUUACAAAUCCCAAACAAGAUUUGGUGAGAGCUCCAGAAAAUGAACUUGUGUGCCAGCAGGGACCUCGCUUUAUGGCAUUUGUGUUACAGCAGUGGAGGGAGACUCCUCCAGGGAGGCAGAGGGGGGUCUUUGACUUCCCUGCUAGGUGUCAGAGCUAGGAUAAUCUCCUCCUGCUGCUGGAAAUUGGCUUUGAACCCCAUCGCUUGUCAGUUCUACCUCCCUGCUUGCAGAACUUCCCUAACUAGGACCCGAGCAGGAAAUAGGGAACUUGCUGAAGCCCGGUUGAGUCAAUUUGGCAGAGCCUCUGACAGCUGGGAGGCCCCUGCUGUGAGCAGCAAGAUGGACCCAGCGGGGCCAAAGGCAAAGACUGGUUUGCUCCAUCACACGGAGCACGGACAGGCCUCGCAUACGAGCUCUGAUGCAGGCAAAGUGGAAAUGCAGCGCACAUGUGGGAGAACAUCUGUGUCCUACGCACAGUCCUGCCAUCGCCCAGCAGUAAAAGCCUUCUCCUGGCUAGGAACCACCUGGAAGAGAUCUUGCAAAUGCCUAUCAGCAGGCUGCAGAACCACCUGAUCACCUACUGGUCCUGUGAAGAAUCUCUCCCCACUCCCAUGGUGUUCGUCUUGUCCUGCAAAGAGCCCCCUAGAUGUGCCUGGUACUUUACGAAGCACAUACGUUCUGCCUACCCAAGUCACUGACAGUCUAAGUGAAGGAUACAACAGGAGGAGGAGAGAAGAACACGAAGAAGGAUCCCGCUGCAUUCGGAAUUCUUGGGCCACAACUACAACACGGAAGAGAGCAUCAUCCAGGCAACCUACGUGCAGGAACCUAAUACAGAAACAGAGAUCACAGUGAACUCCUCAAACACUUUCUGCUGUCAAAUCCCAGCUCCACUUGCCAACCAGAACUUCUCUCUGUUCUUUCAAUGAGAGAAGAUAUUCUUCAUUUCCCUGCCUAGAAACUGAUGCUGGUGCAAAUGGUUGCCCUGUUCUAAUCCAGAGGUGGCUGCAUUUUAGUGAUGUCUGAGUAAUCCUUAUGUAUAUAGACAGCCUGUAAAAUGCGCUAGGACUCUCCAGGAAGAAAGAUACUAUACUGAUCUCUGUUAUUAUUACUAUUGUUAUUUCUGCUCCUCCACAUAGAUGGGUAUCUAUCAGGCUUUGUUCUAUACAUUAGAAGUAAACCAUAAAGCUUAUUGUCUGCAGACAAUAGCUGCUGCUUUUGCAUCUGUCUUGCUGAAUGUACACACGUAUAGAAAAUGAGCUAAUGAUUUUUGCACGUAUUUUAUUCCUGUGUAGACCAGAGCAAACAUUCCAAUGCUGCCUCCAUUGCCAGCAAAUUGAUAAUCAUCAAUAUAUCGAUCAUUACAUAGAACCACAUGUCAGACAAACAAUUGGCAGGUGGGCUGUAAGUCAUAUAUGCACAUUGGGCUGAAGUCCUAGGAACACUCUCUCCCAUGUGUGCUGGCGGGUCCUGAGGAGAGCUUAGGAAAUUCUGUAGAGUAAGGCAGCAUCCUGGUGUUGAUGGUGCGAGCUGUUGAAAUGGAGAGUCCUACCUAUACAUGGCACCAGCUCCCUCAUAGCUCAGGGGGCCUCAUAAGCUGAGAUCCCAGCAAUGAAAGAAAAAAUCCCCACAACUCUUAGCAGCUGUGAUGACAACCCUGAAGCCAGCAUUAGGAGACAGCAUGCCCAAUUCUCCAUGCAAAAUACCUUCACUGAUGUAAAUCAGCACCGCUCCACUGAAAUCAACAGUGCUACAUGUGAUGUCACUACUGCCCUGGGUCAGAGAUCAACUCCCAAGGCCAGGGAAACUCAGAAUUAAGCUCGCAGAGGCUCAGUCCAUAAUUGCCCCAGACGUCUCUGGUUUUGAGUGUAAGGGUAUGCCAGCCUCCGACAGUAUCUAGAUAGUAAUGAAUAGAACUGGUUAGACAAUGGGGAUUUUCUCCAUGGACAAUUUUGAGCUUCAUCGAAAUAUCAAAAUUUAGAAUAUUUCCAUUCUGAAAUGCUUCUGCAGUGCCUCAUGGGAGUUGUAGUUCAAGUGCUUCUUGCUCCCAUUCUCCUCUAUAGGUUGGACUACAUCUUCCACGAUGCACCAUGCUCUGCCCUCGUGGCGCAUCAUGGCAGUCACAUGGAAAGCAGACACUUCUCAUGACAAAUGUCAUUUAGUUGAAAACCCAAUUUUCUGUUGACAAAUGGUUUUGACAAAAAGUUUUCGACCAGCCCUACCGGAGAGCUAGGCCUUAGGGUGCAGCCUCUCCCUGCAUUCCCUUAAUUUUGUAGGAUGAAGCCAAAUCCUUGCUGUCCCUUUGAUGCAUUUCUUGUAGUUUGAUAAUAAAGUGACUUGUGCCCCUUUUUUCAUGUUGCUAAAGGAAAGGAAGAGAUGUGAGACAG
Molecule: non-coding RNA, 3677 nt
Organism: Chrysemys picta bellii (western painted turtle)
Lineage: Eukaryota; Metazoa; Chordata; Testudines; Emydidae
Source: RefSeq, a predicted model, not a curated record